UCAAUGGACAAGAAGAAAACAAAGGCGAAAAAAUUAGAGACUAGACCAGAUAAACCAAGAAAAACUUCUAUUAUUGACCAAGAAGAAAGCAAUGGAGCAUAAGUAGGUUCACCAGGAUAAUUAGCUGCAAUGAAACCAAAAGUGCUUUUUCAGAGUUUCUAAACUUCUAAUGCUUUUCUAUUAUUUUUUUUAAUCAUAUCUAGUCAAGCAUGGCCAAACGCAAUUAACUAACAAUCAUCUGCGCACUAACAUGAAUGCAUCGAAAUGAUAUUAUUUUGCAUUUAUCUUUUCCACUGAGCGGAAGACAAAAAGUUGAGGAAAGCGGCACCAACAACAACUUCACACAAAACCUCUCAAACAAAAACAAAAAAGCAUUACAAAAAAUCUGAAGUUUAAGAGAGGAGAAAAUGAAACAUCCAAAUUAUGCUUUCCCCAGUGUGCUAGCCUCUAUUCAGCUGGGUUCAACAGAAGUUGAGGAUUUUACAUGCAUUAUUAAGCGCGUAGAAUCUGUAGAUAGAAUAGUAAAAUUGCUUAAUGAAAGUAUCAUGCCUCUUAAAAUAUUUCAACUUAUUUUAUUUACAUCCAAAUUGUGCUUUCCCAAUGUGCUAGCCUCUAUUCAGCCAGGUUCAACCAAAGUUGAGGAUUUUACAUGCCUUAGUAAGCGUGUAGAAAAGCAGAUGGAAUAGUAAAAUUGCUUAGAGAAACUAUCACGCCUCUCAACGUACUUCAACUUAUUUUAUUUUCUCACUUACAGCAAUCCAAAUAAGUACCUUAAGCCACUGCUUUUAGCUGAUAACAAAUAAUUAGUUUACCUAGAAAAAACAGAGGUCGUUGCUCCAGAUUCAAGGUUUCUAUAGGAAAUCAAUCUUAACUAAACCCGUAUCUUCAAAGAUGAAGAAAGCAAAGAAGUACUAGUUGCCCAUAGCAUGUGGACCAGUCUAAAUUAGAUGGUUGGCCAGUUCAGUGACUUCAGUCAUCUUUUACCAUUUUGUCCAAUUACAGUACAACCGUACAAGAAAAAUAUGACAAUUUUUUACUUUUGUUUCGAGUUGAAGAAACUCAAGAGUCAAGGGGAUAGAACUUUACUACAUGCUUAUUGUAGGCGUCCAUUUUACAAAAUUCAAUGGUCCAGGCUCGGCCGGGUCUUUAAAUGAUUGGUUGCAAGUUCCCAGUGUAGCGACUUUCGUGCAACUCGACUAAUCUUGGGCUCUAAAAUUAACGACCGGGCAAACCUCAAGUUGGCCCAGAUGGUUUUUUGUUGGCAGUGGAAGUCAAACCUGCAAGCUUGGGAGAAAAAGUCUACUCAAUGCCAUGCUCCCACUUGACCAAUCCCUUACGGGUGAGUAAUAAUUACAUUUUAUGAGCAUUCAAUAGAGGUGUCAAACGGGCCGGGCCGGCACGAGCACGGCACGUUUAGCGUCGGCACAGUAUGGGCCUAGCAUGACACGCCACGAACACUAAAGUGGGCUGGGCCAUCGUUUUGGAGCCCACGGCAUGGCACGGGCACUAUUAGUCAUGGGGCACGGCACGAAGCAUGGCAUAGACACGUAUAAGGGCACAAUAAAAAUACUAGUGAUGCAUUUCUAGUUGAGAAUGCAUAUGAUUGAUAGUUGAGUAGUGAAGCACAGAAUGCAUAUGAUUGAUAGUUGAGUAGGUGCCAACCUAGUUAGGAUGUAUUCAAACCGUAUUGACGCAUUUCUUAUUUAUAAUUACAUUCAUUGUAUUACAAGGUUUAAUUAUCAAUAAAAUGUUUUGUAUUUUUUGAAUUAAAUGUGUUGAUUUUUAGUUGUAAUUAUCAAUUUAAAAAAAUAAUGGCAAUUUUUUAGAACUUUUUUUUAGCUUCACAAGUCUCGAUUGUGCACGGGCACGAAAAUCAGCACUGCACAACACGACACGGCAUGAAUUGUGGUGGGCCAUGGCUAGGCCAAGAAUAUUUUGAUAAAGCAUGGCACAACAAGGUUAGUAAAUGGGUCUGGCAAGACACGGCACGAAGCAUGCUAGGCACAGGAAUAAAUGGGCUAGGCCGGCACGGCACGGCCCAUUCGACACCUCUAGCAUUCAAUGACAAUUGGAAGACACAUGUGGUCGCGGAAGCCGCUGAAUUGGUGUUGAAGCAUUAUAUUUUUUCAGGUUGGGGUUUCAGGCUGAGAUCUUUAGCCCUUCUGAAAAGGCCUAAGCCUUAUAAAGGAGAAGGACAAGGUGGCCGUGAAAUGAACAAAGGCAAUUUGCUUGAUACGGCAAUAUAAUGGGCUAGAUUCUUUUAUCUAUUUUCCUCAACCAAAAUGAGAUGGAUUUCUAGAUCAGCCAAUAACAUGGAGAUUCCUUGAGCAAAAUAUGGCCUCCGUCAAUUUUUGCUGUGAAAUCUCCUCUCUAACAAUCCUCACUCCUCAAUGAGAAUAGGUAAUAGUUAAUGAUGUUUAGGUGUGGACGAGAAUAAAAAUUGACAAUGUACCUCAAGCUUUUAGAUGAGCCGGUGCAACAAUUUAACGAGGUGCCAUAACUGACAGUAGAUCCUCAAGUUUGAACCUAUGCACGUUUUGGGGCCAUUUAUGCAGGAAAGUCUAGUCACAGUAACAAACAUAACAUUACAAAUAAGGAUUUCCAUCUCGCUAACAACUUGAACUUCUAGAUGAAUUGGUGGCCACCAAUUUAACACACGCUUUAUCUUCUUCACUUUUCUUUCCCUUUUUCUAUAGCCAUACAUCAAAUACGAGGACCGAGAACUCUAAAAGAGCAAAAAGUAAAAGUACCAAGGGUUAGAGGUUUUCAGAUAUACAUUUUUGUUUCUUUCCACACGCUUGUGAAAAUAAGAAAAGAAAAAUAAGAAAAAUAGAAGAAAAAAAAUCGAACUGGAAGAUGCCAAUAGACCUUCACAAAAAUUUUGCCUUGUUUUCUUUCCUUUGUAUCGAGGGAAGACCACACCUAUGCAGAGCAAAUUAUAUAACAGCCAAUUUCGCACCACUAGGCAGUUCUACAUACAUAAUGCAUGACAAAGAAAAGAAUGGCAAAUACUAAUCACACAUCUUUAGUUUGGUGGUAGAAUUAGAUCUCAAAGAGUGCAAAACACAUACUAUUUACACAACACUUGCUACAGAUGAUGUGAUAUGCACCAUGUAGUUUCCUAGUUCCUACUACUUUCAUAUGCAUGAUAGCAACAAUAGCUUACCACUUGACACUCCAUUCAGAUUGUCUCUCUCUAGAGUUUGGAUUCUUCUAUAGCAUCCAAGAUUUUCAUUAAAUAAUUACAAGCUUAAAAAAUGAGGCUGCCUUUCUUUUUCCUCUUUUUCCCCUUAAACUUCAAUAGUUCUAACGGUUCGAAGAAUGGCGCCUCGUGAUGAAAAGAUCAGAAUGAGUGUCAUAACUCAAAGGCCAGUCAACAAGAUAAAAGUGCAGACAGUAAAUUGUAGCUCCAUCAUGCCAUUAAAAAAGUUAAAAGAUGGACAGAAUCGAAAUAUAUGCGCCAAUACUCACUCCACAUAGAAGAUAAACCUAGAAAAUUAAUAAAUUACUCGAGAAUAUUGACGAGUGGGCAUUAUUCACCUAAUGCUGAGAAUGAAAACAACAACCCGGAUGUAAGGGGCAACCCUGAAUGGAAGGUUAAAGUCGGUCACUGGAGAUACAUACAGAACAUCGACUAAUAAAUCAGCAACC
This is a long non-coding RNA of Rhododendron vialii, 3651 nucleotides long. RefSeq lists it as uncharacterized. The transcript has 2 exons. NCBI's taxonomy places the organism in Eukaryota, Viridiplantae, Streptophyta, Magnoliopsida, Ericales, Ericaceae. The record is from RefSeq and is a predicted model, not a curated record.